AUGAACGCUGGCGGCGUGCCUAAUACAUGCAAGUCGAGCGAACGGACGAGAAGCUUGCUUCUCUGAUGUUAGCGGCGGACGGGUGAGUAACACGUGGAUAACCUACCUAUAAGACUGGGAUAACUUCGGGAAACCGGAGCUAAUACCGGAUGAUAUUUUGAACCGCAUGGUUCAAAAGUGAAAGACGGUCUUGCUGUCACUUAUAGAUGGAUCCGCGCUGCAUUAGCUAGUUGGUAAGGUAACGGCUUACCAAGGCAACGAUGCAUAGCCAACCUGAGAGGGUGAUCGGCCACACUGGAACUGAGACACGGUCCAGACUCCUACGGGAGGCAGCAGUAGGGAAUCUUCCGCAAUGGGCGAAAGCCUGACGGAGCAACGCCGCGUGAGUGAUGAAGGUCUUCGGAUCGUAAAACUCUGUUAUUAGGGAAGAACAUAUGUGUAAGUAACUGUGCACAUCUUGACGGUACCUAAUCAGAAAGCCACGGCUAACUACGUG
Molecule: ribosomal RNA, 496 nt
Filed under: uncultured bacterium
Lineage: Bacteria
Description: partial 16S ribosomal RNA
Rfam family: Bacterial small subunit ribosomal RNA
Source: RNAcentral